Molecule: long non-coding RNA, 430 nt
Filed under: Marmota monax (woodchuck)
Lineage: Eukaryota; Metazoa; Chordata; Mammalia; Rodentia; Sciuridae
Source: RNAcentral
UCAAUCUUGUGAUCCUUCUCCCCUCAGCCUCCUGAUUAGCUAGGAUCAUAGGUGUGCACCACUGCGCCCAGCUUAGCAUGUUAAAUUUUGAGAUUCAUCUACAUUGUUGUGAAUAUCAGUAGUUCUUUUCUGUUCAUCACUCAAUGGUAACUAUUGCAUUGACUGAAUAUACCACAAGGUGUUAGUCAUCCCUGUGGAGGGACCUUUGAGUUUCUUCCAGUUUUUUAAACUGCUCUGUUGUUAACAACGUUCCCCCAGGGUCCUACAAUGCACAAGGGAGAAUCUUGGGAGGCUGGAUUCUUCUAACCCAAUGUACCCAAACACCAGCCAAGGCAGCUCAACACAGGUUGAUGUACUGGGCUUCCCUGCAGCCACAUUCUGGACUUCAGCACACCUGGAUUCAAAUUUCUCCCCUGCCACUUGAUUGCUG